UUUAGUUAAAAGUUAGAAAUAUAAAAAACAUUUUUUUAAAGAAAAAAAAAAAGGAAUCCAGCCUGAUUUCUUUGGCUUAAAUGGCCCAAUUGAUAGCUUUUACAUUGCUAUGGAAAAAAAUGUUCUCAACCCAUUCCAUGCUAUUCCACGUUAUGCAUGUGUUGUGAUCUUCUUUAAGGGUAUUGCUUUUGGUUGCAAGUUGUGAUGUAUAAUGGAUAAUGUGUUGUAACUGGUGAACCUGUAUUUUUUGCAGUAAGCUAAAAAUUUUAGCGUGUGAAAGUGACAGGAUAGCUUGUAAAAUUGUGGAUUUUGUAGUUUUAUCAUGGAUAAAGUUUUAAGUUUGUAAUUCUAUUUUGUUCCAGUCAACUAAGGUUUUGGGACAUUUAAAAAAGUAGUGGAUUCAUAGGAUUUGACUUGCGUUUGAAAUUUUCAAGUUUGUAAUUUUUUACUGUAACAGGCUGCAGUACUACAACAUCCUUCA
This 481-nucleotide unclassified non-coding RNA is filed under the name Hevea brasiliensis (rubber tree). The record is from RNAcentral. Lineage: Eukaryota; Viridiplantae; Streptophyta; Magnoliopsida; Malpighiales; Euphorbiaceae.